UACGUAGGGGGCUAGCGUUGUCUGGAAUCAUUGGGCGUAAAGCGCGUGUAGGCGGUCCGGUAAGUCCGCUGUGAAAGUCGAGGGCUCAACCCUCGAAUGCCGGUGGAUACUGUCGGGCUUGAGUACGGGAGAGGCGAGUGGAAUUCCUGGUGUAGCGGUGAAAUGCGCAGAUAUCAGGAGGAACACCGAUUGCGAAGGCAGCUCGCUGGAACGUUACUGACGCUGAGACGCGAAAGCGUGGGGAGCAAACAGG
Molecule: ribosomal RNA, 253 nt
Filed under: uncultured bacterium
Lineage: Bacteria
Description: partial 16S ribosomal RNA
Rfam family: Bacterial small subunit ribosomal RNA
Source: RNAcentral